RNAcentral lists this unclassified non-coding RNA (87 nucleotides) under Pseudomonas cedrina. The record is from RNAcentral. Lineage: Bacteria; Pseudomonadati; Pseudomonadota; Gammaproteobacteria; Pseudomonadales; Pseudomonadaceae.
UGUGGGAGCUGGCUUGCCUGCGAUGCAGACACCUCGGUGUAGUUGAUGCACCGAGUCGAUGCCAUCGCAGGCAAGCCAGCUCCCAAA